Molecule: ribosomal RNA, 659 nt
Filed under: Escherichia coli
Lineage: Bacteria; Pseudomonadati; Pseudomonadota; Gammaproteobacteria; Enterobacterales; Enterobacteriaceae
Description: bacterial LSU rRNA
Rfam family: Bacterial large subunit ribosomal RNA
Source: RNAcentral
AGCGUACACGGUGGAUGCCCUGGCAGUCAGAGGCGAUGAAGGACGUGCUAAUCUGCGAUAAGCGUCGGUAAGGUGAUAUGAACCGUUAUAACCGGCGAUUUCCGAAUGGGGAAACCCAGUGUGAUUCGUCACACUAUCAUUAACUGAAUCCAUAGGUUAAUGAGGCGAACCGGGGGAACUGAAACAUCUAAGUACCCCGAGGAAAAGAAAUCAACCGAGAUUCCCCCAGUAGCGGCGAGCGAACGGGGAGGAGCCCAGAGCCUGAAUCAGUGUGUGUGUUAGUGGAAGCGUCUGGAAAGGCGCGCGAUACAGGGUGACAGCCCCGUACACAAAAAUGCACAUAUUGUGAGCUCGAUGAGUAGGGCGGGACACGUGGUAUCCUGUCUGAAUAUGGGGGGACCAUCCUCCAAGGCUAAAUACUCCUGACUGACCGAUAGUGAACCAGUACCGUGAGGGAAAGGCGAAAAGAACCCCGGCGAGGGGAGUGAAAAAGAACCUGAAACCGUGUACGUACAAGCAGUGGGAGCCUCUUAAUGGGGUGACUGCGUACCUUUUGUAUAAUGGGUCAGCGACUUAUAUUCUGUAGCAAGGUUAACCGAAUAGGGGAGCCGAAGGGAAACCGAGUCUUAACUGGGCGUUAAGUUGCAGGGUAUAGACCC